RNAcentral lists this long non-coding RNA (1104 nucleotides) under Fragaria vesca (wild strawberry). Its description in RNAcentral is "long non-coding RNA (FVES_LNC004713)". Lineage: Eukaryota; Viridiplantae; Streptophyta; Magnoliopsida; Rosales; Rosaceae. The record is from RNAcentral.
AUUUUGUUAAAAAACUAAACAUUUUGGUAAUUUUCCACUUGAAAUCCAGGUAAUCUCUUUUCCUAUCUGUUAUUGGGUUUUGGGCUUAUGUCCUUGUUUGUUUCAUCUUUUAAAAUGUGGGUUUUCUGUUUUUUGCAACUGUUUGAAGUAGUGAGAUGUCAUUUUCUAUUUUAAUAAUUCAUUUUCUCUCUCUGCAUGAAUUAAGGAGUAAACCUACAUUUUACUUGCUAACAAGAGUGAACCUUAAUUAUCGUACUUUGAUUCCCACUCUAACAAGGAAAUCCACUUAAUGCAGCCAGAUUUUGUAACAAGGGGUUUUUUGUUAUAAAUUCAAGGCCUCUUUACAGCAUAAUCACAACAUCCAAUCGAGACUGACAAUCUCGACAAUGAUCAAGCUGCAACACAAAUGGUUCAGGCUAAGAAGGACUCAAUCGAAAAUGUAUUCAGAGACACAGAGGUGAAACUGUGAGGUCUAUAGUCUCCAGUUUUUUUCUUAGCAUCGUUGAUAACUUCAGCAUGUUCAAACUCAAUUAAUCUCAUCACUGGUGUAAUACCCUCUCGCAUACCCGGACCUGAGAUUUUGAGGCCUGAGUCGAACUCUCAGAGUUGGGCCCCUAAUUUUUUUUUUUAUAUAUAUAAAAUAGCAAAGAACAUCCAAAAAUAUAUAGGAUUUUUAUGCAAAAUACUUAUUAUGCAAAUAGGAUUCCAAAACCUUGAUGGUUUAGUAAUCUUAAUUGUAUUAUAAAUCCUAUCUAUACAACAAAUAUCUUACCUGUUUGGCUGCUUCUAUUUAAUAUUUUGACUUUUUUAUGGGUACAAAUUUAAAGUAGUAAUUGAUGGUUUGGCCCCUCAUCAUGUGUAAUUGUUUUUGUUUUAGGAUAGUUGUCUUUAAUUCAUGUCAGAUUGCACAAAUUUAAAGUAGUAAUUGAUGGUUUAGCCCCUCAUCAAGUGUAAUUGUCUUUGUUUUAAGAUAGUUGUCUUUAAUUCAUGUCAGAUUGCACAGCCAAAAAACUACUAAAAAAAAAAAAAUUUAGACAACUAUAAAAAAAUAUUUUUGGGCCCCGAGUCCCAAGCCUCUUGUGUCUCUAUUCAAAAUCCGGGCCU